Molecule: transfer RNA, 100 nt
Filed under: Inoviridae sp.
Lineage: Floreoviria; Loebvirae; Hofneiviricota; Faserviricetes; Tubulavirales; Inoviridae
Description: tRNA-OTHER
Rfam family: tRNA
About the family: Transfer RNA (tRNA) molecules are approximately 80 nucleotides in length. Their secondary structure includes four short double-helical elements and three loops (D, anti-codon, and T loops).
Source: RNAcentral
GGGAAUGUAUGCAAGAGGCUAAAGCGGACAAACAAAGACAGUUGCCUUAAUGAUACGCGCGUGAUAUUAAGGUUCGUGGGUUCGAUUCCCACCAUUUCCA